GCCGUGAUAUUUCAGCCGGGAGAACGCUAAACUGGAGAUCUAGAUGAUACUGGUUCAAGUUUGGCCCACAGCA
This 73-nucleotide transfer RNA is filed under the name Methanobrevibacter arboriphilus JCM 13429 = DSM 1125. RNAcentral's name for it is "tRNA-Ser". Lineage: Archaea; Methanobacteriati; Methanobacteriota; Methanobacteria; Methanobacteriales; Methanobacteriaceae. The record is from RNAcentral.